UUUGAACUUGAAAAUGCAAUAUACUUUAAUUCAGAGAUUUAAAAAGUGAACAUACGUUUUAACCCAGCGGGUGCUGUAAACAGUACGUUGGCGGUUCACACCAGUUCAGAAAUUACCAAGGCAUCCAGUCUCCCAGCAAGUGCCAAGAGGCAUUCAUUCAAUGCUCCGCUGACACCAAUUUGCCCAAAGAGUAUUUAUGUGGGAGACUCCUCAGAUUGUGGAGACCCCAGAUUGUGGAGGCUCCUGGGCAGCUGGUCUUUUUGUGGACUCCUAAAUCUGGCACUGAACAAAAUUCUCUCUCUCUCUCUCUCUCUCUCUCUCUCUCUCUCUCUCUCUCUCUCUCUCUCUCUCUCUCUCUCUCUCUCUCUCUCUCUCUCUCUCUCUCUCUCUCUCUCUCUCUCUCUCUCUCUCUCUCUCUCUCUCUCUCUCUCUCUCUCUCUCUCUCUCUCUCUCUCUCUCUCUCUCUCUCUCUCUCUCUCUCUCUCUCUCCUCAACUCUCAGCCACUGGAUGGUAUAUCAGUUCACACAGCAAGAAGCCAAGGACCCACCGAGGCUGUCACUUGGAAGAGGUCAUUGUUGUUGCAUCCAGCAUCCCAGCCUGACUGCCUAGACAGGUCCCGCAGGUUGCUGAAUGGCAGAGGUGCAGGCUGCUCCACAGCAAAAUGUGAGACCAGUGUGGCAGAGUAUGAUGUGUACACAAUGAGGGACACACUGUAGCCAACCCAGUAGAUUACCCGUGCUGCACUGCUGAUUGGGUCCUCACCUUGUUGUAGGAGAGCUGACAACAUGUACCAGCCAGCAGCAACUCCCAUGCUAACAGGCUUCUCCCCCGUGGGUAUGUAGCACCUCUGGAGUCGCUCGAUGAAGAAGAGGAUGCUGGCGAGGCCUGUCGUGUUAGCCGGGAUGCGCCGGUACAGAGCUGUGUCCGUUGGGGUUGUGUAGGCAAGCAUCUUCUUGGCAAGGUCCUCGUAGGUGGCCGCAAACAGUUUACGGCUGUGGGAUGAGAACUUGUCUUGUGAAUGUGACGUUGGGAGGAGGGAAGCACAGGGGAAGAGGAGGACGAGGAGGAAGAGAGUUAAGAGUCACAAGAGGAGGAGGAAGGUGGAAAGAAAGAGGAAGGAGAGGAGGAGGAGGAGGAGGAGGAGGAGGAAGAUGGAGAAGGAAAGGAGAAAGAUAAGAAGGAAGGAAAUGCCGCAGAAGGAGAAGAGCAAUAAGAAAUUAGAAUUGACAGAGAAACCAGACAAGGGACUGCAUUUGAAGAAGCACAAGAACCAAGAAAUUACAUCAUUCAAUGAAAUGACAACAUAAUCUAAAAUAGAAAUAAAAAACGUCACAAGACAGAAUAGUGAGCUGCAUGCACUUAUCACAGAGUAUAAAGUCACUCCCUCAGAGGAAAAAGACAAGGAUGGCAUGUCUUCAUGUGAGAACUCAGAAGCUAAAUGUACAGAUACCAAGGGGAAAUUGCUGGGUCAAGUGGCUACACUGACAUCUGAGGUUAGCAGGUUGGAGAGUGAGUGCAGCAGUCUUCAGGUUCAGCUAGACUGUGAGAGGGAUAAGUAUAACAAACUGCUGGGAGAAUCUCUUGCUCAUGAAAAGUUGUCUGAAGAUGUCAUAACUGAACCAAAAGGAGAAACAACAGGAUUGGGAGGAACUGAGCUUUAACAGAAGCUGCAACAACUGCAGGAGGCUCACAGGGUCCUGGAGAGCAGGUUAACUUGCAGCAUGAAGGAGGUGGCUGAGCUAAGUGACAGGAAGUAGCAGCUUAAGCAUGCUGUAGUGCAUGAGGAGACAGAGUCCAUCGGUGUAUGCAUGUUUUUUGCUCAUUUGAAUCAUCUGUAAAAGUGAAGUGGAGGAAGUGUUUACUGUUUACUGUAUGCCAUUUCCUUGGUCUUUUAAUGAAGAAUUUUAUCCUUCUUCAGGUGACUACAUCACCAUCUACCAGUUGCAGCGAGGAGUGAUGAAGCAACAAGCUCGAGAACGCGAGUUAGACCUUGCCAGCCUCCAUCAUGAAUGAGAGGAAAUGAAGCAAAACCACUCUGCAGGAUUUGAUAUCAAAGCUGGUGCAGGAAAAGGAAGCAGAUCAUGACCUUCAGCAGCUCGAGAAGAUAAGCAGCGUCCUUAAGAGUCCAGUUGCUAUCUUUAGCAGUGUUGGAACCAGUGAGUCUGAGACACCCACCAGCAGUGGAAAGCUGGCUGACGAGCGCCUCAAGCACUCUGAAAAGGUGGAGCAACAACAAGAAACAGAAAAUUGCAUCCAUCAUUCUUUGCCUGAGGAGGGAAUUGAUGCUCUGUUGACCCUUCACACUGAUGUCCCUCAUGAGGAGGCAGAAUAUGAAUCCUACAGAACUUGCCCAUAGAAAAACCAAAACUGUUACUGCUGCCACACUGCCACCACUUCCACUGACACCAAAAGCCCAACUGUGCAGAGAAUCCUGGACCUCCGCAAUGAAAUGGAGUCCACCAGUCACCUGGAGCACUUUAGCCUCCAAAAGUUCCAUCCGUGUCCAUUGUGUUUGGGUAAACUUAUCACUGUAUAAGGGGACAAGUAUCAGUGUAUGGUUACUAUAUACUCAUUUGUACUUAAAGAUGUCAUGUCACAUCAUUCUCUCUCUCUCUCUCUCUCUCUCUCUCUCUCUCUCUCUCUCUCUCUCUCUCUCUCUCUCUCUCUCUCUCUCUCUCUC
Scylla paramamosain (green mud crab) is the source of this 2681-nucleotide RNA transcript. RefSeq lists it as uncharacterized. The transcript is spliced from 11 exons. The record is from RefSeq and is a predicted model, not a curated record. Lineage: Eukaryota; Metazoa; Arthropoda; Malacostraca; Decapoda; Portunidae.